UCCCUGGUGGUCUAGUGGUUAUGAUUCGGUGCUUUCACCACCGUAGCCUCGGUUUGAUUCCCGGUCAGGGUG
Non-coding RNA from Dallia pectoralis (Alaska blackfish), 72 nucleotides. Lineage: Eukaryota; Metazoa; Chordata; Actinopteri; Esociformes; Umbridae. The record is from the annotation of a GenBank genome assembly.